This is a long non-coding RNA of Anolis sagrei ordinatus, 983 nucleotides long. RefSeq lists it as uncharacterized. The record is from RefSeq and is a predicted model, not a curated record. NCBI's taxonomy places the organism in Eukaryota, Metazoa, Chordata, Lepidosauria, Squamata, Anolidae.
CGGCCCUGGCACUUUGUCUUCAUUUAUUCUGCCCGCUCUCUCUCCUCACGGCGGCACCAGGCGCACCGGCGGCGGGAAGCCCUCCGCCGAGGAGAUAUCGCUUCAUUUCGGAGAGAUCACCAGACUGGGCCACAGCAACACGUGGCAGGGGACUCUAGUAGAAUAAUAGAAUCCUUGAGUUGGAAGAGACUUCGUGGGCCAUCCAGUCCAACCCCUGCCAAGAAACAGGAAAAUCGCAUUCAAAGCACCCCUGACAGAUGGCCAUCCAGCCUAUGCUUAAAAGCUUCCAAAGAAGGAGCCUCCAACACAUUCCAGGGCAGAGAGUUCCACUGCUGAACAGCUCUCACAGUCAGGAAAUUCUUCCUCAUGUUCAGGUGGAAUCCCCUUUUCUUGUAGUUUGAAACUAUUGUUUUGCAUCCUAGUCUCCACGGCAGCAGAAAACAAACUUGCUCCUGCUUCCCCAUGAGGACGAGCGAGUAUAUAGAUUAUACUACCUCUUGUCAGAGAAACUCCUUGGGCCUUUUCACUCUCCAGUCAUUUUACUCAGAAUUUGUUCACGGGAGAAGUGCUAGGACAUACCUUUUGCCAAGCAUCCGUGGCGUAGGAAAAUCAGCCCUCCACAACAUCUACAUUUAUGUGUGCAUUUGUGUGCAUCCAUGCAUGAAUCUGCAUGCAAUUUUAAUGUAUUUGCAAGUUCCUGAACUGCCUUAUGGGCCUUUUGAUGGAUAGCCAAAAAAUAAACAGAACCAAACAGUGCAAUAAUAUGCAAAAGCAUAAAAUUGCCCCUCUUAAAACUUAGGCAAAACCAUGUAUAAAAUGGACAAUAGUAACUGAUAGCCAAGCAAGUAACGAAACUUGUUGAAUUUUUAAAGACCUUUAUUUUAGUAUUGGUGAUAGAACUACAGUAUAUGAAUUUUAUACCUUAGACCACUGCUAAGAAUGCCUUGCUUUUGGAAAGUAGUAAAGGUAAAGUUUUCCCCUGA